GCUACUCAGGGAAGGCUUUUUCCACAUUGCCCUCUUUUCAAUGGAACUUUCACCCUAUAGUAGGGUUUGGGGUGUUCACCAGUGAAGAGUUAGGGUUAGAAAAAUGAGCUGUCCUGGCAUGAUUUUGAUGGUUGGAACGUGUUUAGAAUGGGCAGAAAUGUUGAACUGUGC
Molecule: long non-coding RNA, 171 nt
Organism: Varanus komodoensis (Komodo dragon)
Lineage: Eukaryota; Metazoa; Chordata; Lepidosauria; Squamata; Varanidae
Exons: 2
Source: RefSeq, a predicted model, not a curated record